GCAAGGGUGGUCGAGCGGUCAAAGGCAUCGGGCUGUAAACCCGACGGAUUAAUUUCCUACAUAGGUUCAAAUCCUAUCCCUUGCACCA
RNAcentral lists this transfer RNA (88 nucleotides) under Acidobacteriota bacterium. RNAcentral describes it as "tRNA-Tyr". It matches the Rfam family "tRNA". From Rfam's summary of the family: Transfer RNA (tRNA) molecules are approximately 80 nucleotides in length. Their secondary structure includes four short double-helical elements and three loops (D, anti-codon, and T loops). RNAcentral also lists the same sequence under 1 other name. The record is from RNAcentral. Lineage: Bacteria; Pseudomonadati; Acidobacteriota.